UUGAAUUAAAAUUUGGUUGGGUUGCUGCUGGUUCUCUGGAGCAUGUGCACGCUCAUUCCAUUUUUAACCACCUGUGCACCCAUUGUAGACCUGAAUGAAAUUUAUUUCGAGGAAACUCGGUUUGAGAACUGCUACCAAGCUGUUCUUGCAUUCAGGCUCUAUGUAUAUAACAUAUCCUCUGUAAUAAGUAAUUGAAUGUUAAUUUAUAGGCCUAUUGUGCCUUUAAACCUAAUA
Molecule: unclassified non-coding RNA, 234 nt
Filed under: uncultured fungus
Lineage: Eukaryota; Fungi
Also listed under: 1 other name
Description: sequence contains ITS1, 5.8S rRNA gene
Source: RNAcentral